CAUCAAAUGACUGAAAAGCAAGUAAUGGUCUCUUAAACCAAUUCAUAGUAAAUAUUAGCAAUUACUUUUGAUGA
This 74-nucleotide transfer RNA is filed under the name Pseudoglomeris montshadskii. RNAcentral's name for it is "tRNA-Lys". The record is from RNAcentral. Lineage: Eukaryota; Metazoa; Arthropoda; Insecta; Blattodea; Blaberidae.